GUGAGGAAUAUUGGACAAUGGGCGCAAGCCUGAUCCAGCCAUGCCGCGUGCAGGAAGACGCAUCUAUGGUGUGUAAACUGCUUUUGUACGGGAAGAAACACUCCCUCGUGAGGGAGCUUGACGGUACCGUAAGAAUAAGGAUCGGCUAACUCCGUGCCAGCAGCCGCGGUAAUACGGAGGAUCCAAGCGUUAUCCGGAAUCAUUGGGUUUAAAGGGUCCGUAGGCGGUUUAAUAAGUCAGUGGUGAAAGCCCAUCGCUCAACGAUGGAACGGGCAUUGAUACUGUUAGACUUGAAUUACAAGGAAGUAACUAGAAUAUGUAGUGUAGCGGUGAAAUGCUUAGAUAUUACAUGGAAUACCAAUUGCGAAGGCAGGUUACUACUUGUGGAUUGACGCUGAUGGACGAAAGCGUGGGGAGCGAACAGGAUUAGAAACCCGGGUAGUCC
Molecule: ribosomal RNA, 445 nt
Filed under: uncultured bacterium
Lineage: Bacteria
Description: partial 16S ribosomal RNA
Rfam family: Bacterial small subunit ribosomal RNA
Source: RNAcentral